GCGAAAUAUAGCUUAAUGGUAAAGCAUCCCGACUUCAGUCGGGAGGAUGCAGUUCGAUCCUGAUAUUUCGCU
This 72-nucleotide transfer RNA is filed under the name Bacteroidota bacterium. RNAcentral describes it as "Bacteroidetes bacterium (soil metagenome) tRNA-OTHER". It matches the Rfam family "tRNA". Rfam says of the family: Transfer RNA (tRNA) molecules are approximately 80 nucleotides in length. Their secondary structure includes four short double-helical elements and three loops (D, anti-codon, and T loops). Further hydrogen bonds mediate the characteristic L-shaped molecular structure. tRNAs have two regions of fundamental functional importance: the anti-codon, which is responsible for specific mRNA codon recognition, and the 3' end, to which the tRNAs corresponding amino acid is attached (by aminoacyl-tRNA synthetases). tRNAs cope with the degeneracy of the genetic code in two manners: having more than one tRNA (with a specific anti-codon) for a particular amino acid; and 'wobble' base-pairing, i.e. permitting non-standard base-pairing at the 3rd anti-codon position. Lineage: Bacteria; Pseudomonadati; Bacteroidota. The record is from RNAcentral.